This is a long non-coding RNA of Thalassophryne amazonica, 179 nucleotides long. RefSeq lists it as uncharacterized. The transcript has 3 exons. The record is from RefSeq and is a predicted model, not a curated record. Lineage: Eukaryota; Metazoa; Chordata; Actinopteri; Batrachoidiformes; Batrachoididae.
UCUGAGUGUGGCAAACGAUUUAGAGAACGGGGCACUCUGAGCAAACACUUUAGAAUUCAUACAGGAAGCAAACCAUUUGACUGUUCUGAGUGUGGCAAACGAUUUAGAGAAAGGGGCACUCUGAACCAACACUUUAGAAUUCAUACAGGUGAAAAACCAUUUAGCUGUUCUGAGUGUGG